Molecule: long non-coding RNA, 4009 nt
Filed under: Cricetulus griseus (Chinese hamster)
Lineage: Eukaryota; Metazoa; Chordata; Mammalia; Rodentia; Cricetidae
Description: lncRNA (ENSCGRG00015032855.1)
Source: RNAcentral
UAUGCCCUCAUCCUCUGGGCCUUUUUACAUCCCGUCCAACCUGGAAAGAUCCCUUCCCUGUGGCCCCAGUUCACACACAGACAAAUGGAGACAGACACUCUUUUACCCUACAGUUAGUGUGGGUCAUUUGUAUCUAACCUUAAUGUCACUUGCUUCGGGAAGCUUCCCAGACCUCCAGCUUCUUGGUCCCGAGUGUUGUGGCUGCUUCUACCUAGAGUUUACAGUGGUUGCUGGUCUCAAUGUAUGGUUGUACGAUGACAGUUUUUUAAAUUCUUUUUUUUUUGACACUGUGGCCUGGUUUAACAAUGUGACACUGGGCUCCUGUUCCUGGACCACCUGGAUUAGAGGGAGUGCUAUGCAGUGUUGGCAAGUGGCCAAUGGGCACUCUCUGGAUUCUAUUGGAACAGAGUGUCAAUUGCUUCCAUCUGCAUCUGCAUGACACUGGACCUGGGAAGUUUACUCCCUUUCCCUGAACUGCUUAUUAUGCCCUGUAAACCUGUACAGACACAUCGGUGACAGCUGCCCCAUCAUCCCAGAAGACUCUCUACCACCCCCACAUGGUAGCAGCUAGAUGCAUGGUAACCUUGUAAUCUUAUUAAACAUGUGAGGAGAUACUGGGGACAUUUCCCAGUGUUCUUCCACAAAGACUUUUGUCUAGGUCUACACAGAGAAUUCUUUUAGAAAUCGGAGCAUGAUCAUCUUGGGAAGCAGAGGUGUGUUUGUCAUUGUCUCUCUUGCAAGAGGUGCUGUUGCAUGUUUGGGCAGCUGAGAGCAGCUUCACUGAGGAAGACACAGCAGGCAGUGAGUCUCCCUCAUAGCUGCUGACUGAGACUCUUGUGUGGACCCACAAGUCUGUGAGCUGCUGUCGGAUAUCCUGCAAGUCUGGGUCCUCAGGGUACAAGGUUUAUUUCAGAAGAUCUCCACCAGCACACUCGGAACUUCAAGGCUCUCAGGGCUCACCGUGUCAAGUUACAUGUUUGGGCUCUCUAAGAAUUCUCCUAAAUCUCCCAAAGCUAUCACAGCAUACAUCUCUCUCAACGAAGUAGAUGGCUUUAUGCAGCCCAUACUCUCGAGAGAGGCACAUCUUGUUCAGUUUGCCCAGCUAUGUUAAUUGUCUCAACAUUGUUAUUUUAAAAUUAGUUUUAAAAACAACCACAUUUCAACCGUGAAAUAUGUUAAAAUACUUUAAGACAGCCACCUAAAAUCAAUGUUAACAUUUUAAAUAUCCUCUUGAAACUUCUGGUGGCUCUUCUUCCUGGCUUGUCACACGUGGCUCUCCCUUUCCAGUCUGCUUUAGUUGCUGAUGUCAGCAGCUUGGAGUGAGGUCUUUGAUCAAUAGAUUAUUCCUUUAUAGAAAAGACUGUCAUCUUUUUCCUAAAUCCCAAGAUGGGCAUCUCCCCUUUCACCCGAGCAUGUAUGCACAGGCAGUUGUUCUCUCAUCAGAUCUCCUAAUUUCAUAAAAGUCUGAGUGACUCCACAGCACCGCAGGGGAGCAGGUGGCCCUCAGCUGCACCUGGGUCAGGUAGAUAGAAGAGCUAAAGUAUGUUCUACUGGGCCGGCCUCAUUGUCCCAUGGGUUUGUGAUAUUCAGUUCCUGUUGAUGCCCUGAAAGGCAAAUGACCUGGAGUUGCUGCCUUCGGGGAAUAGAGGACUUAGCUACUGUGGGGAUGUGAUUGUCGUAGAGGAAUGGGGAGCUAGGGAAGACUGAUGACUGAGAUGACUCUGGAGCUGUGCCUUUCAUGUGGAAGAGUGUGGUAGAGCACUAUCAUCUUCCAGAGGAGUCAUGCUGGAUAUGGGGUCCAGCUCCUCGCAUCCCAGUGACUGCAGAGUGUUCCAGGUAGUCUGGCUCAGGACAGUGAAGCUGAAACUGCUGUCUGGUGUUGUGCCUGCUCCGAGGUCCAUGUGGCCGUUAGCUGAAUGUUCAUCCUGCCCAUCCCUGCCUGUGUUCCUGGAGUAGUCAGAGUCUGCUGGUUGUUUUUGGUUUUAUUUUGGUUUUGGUUUUGGUUUUGACCUGUCACCCCAUGCAAAGUGACCCUGCAGAGGUGAGAGGGAUGAGGCUCAAGUGGCCCAAGUCUUUGGGGGAACUUCCCCAUCUAUUGAUGUCCCUCUCAGCAGUGCUGGUUUACAUUAGCUGUGCGCUGUGGAAUGUGCUGGAAGAGAAGGUGGACACCCUGCACGACUCAGCUGGAUCUGCAGAGGGGUAACUUCCCUGACAAGUGGGGGUGCUCCAUUUGGAGCCCAUAGGGGAUCCAGAACUCCCCCAGACCACUGCAACUGUGUGGAAGCCAAUGCUGAGGUCCCCUGGGUUUCCUGGUGUGAGCCCAGAAUUGACACACCUCGUCUGACUUGCAGUGAUGCCUAGUUUGACUGUAUCUCCAAAUGACAAGCAUGAAAAGAUGGCUAUGUUCGACUCUCCCAUGGUUCCACAGGCUCAGUGAUGAUGGAAUGUCUCUCUGGUUUAGGGUCUGGGGUGAGACUUAAGUGAGAGUGGAGACUCUGGGAUUUAUACUCUCCAAUGUAUAUAAAUCCUGCCCUCUUCUGUCUGUACCUGUGUAAGCAUGCUGCAAGGUGCAGUGAGGGCCCAUGGCUUCCUCAUGAGACUCUCAAGCAGAGGGGAAGCCCCACCAGCCAGCAGAGCAAACAGGUGCUCUUGGAUCCACUUGUCAGAGUAGGGCGCCGACAGAAGGUCAGGAGUUGGUCUCCAGGAAAGAAAGCAGGGAUCUUGAGCAGUUUAACCCGCUGAUGGAUUUGUGGGUGGCAGGUAUGUGGAAGUGGUUCAAAGGCCAGAGCCCUGGUGGUGACUCCAGAGAUAACCUUCCCACCAAAGUGACCAGGUCCUCUUUGCAAACAUUUGAAGGUACAGAGAACAUUCUGUUGCUCCAGUAGUGAAUUUGAAGAAUUUAAAGAAAUUCCUUUGUGUGACUUAAAAGUUUGGGGUUGGAGAGGGUGGCAUUGUGUUGAUUUAAAGUUCAGAGAGCCUAUAUUCGGAGGAUGGAGUCAUUUCUCUACAAGGAGAACAAACAUUAGCUGAGAAGACGAAUAGGAAAAAUAAGUGAACCCUCAAAAAACUCACAGUUGCCAAAGGAGUCUUUCCUGCUCCAGCCAGGUCAGCUACUGCGAGAGAUGGCUUGUGCUGUCUCUUUGGAACCCACAGGCUUGUUGACGCUUUCUGUGGAGUACAUGCAGCAGGGAGGAUGAUGCUGGCCACUUUCUUGCUUCCUGAUAACUGCAAUGCUAUGGAGAAGGUUUGGGUCACUUGGGAGGCCCGAGCCUCAUGCUCUGUAGUCAUGUAUCUAGGAUUCACCCAGAGGAGUCACAGUAGCAAUUUUGUUGGUGCCUGAUGCUUGCCUUCUUGGAAACCUCUGUACAAAACAUGGAUGAGACACUCUCAAGGUCAACAUCAAGUUCCCUGCAGUGGGAUGAGAUGGAGACUUGAUGCCGCUAGUUGAGUUUUGGUGCUGUGGAAUUGGAGGUUAACUUUCGUGUGGAUGCCUGGUGGCUGUCAGGAUGGGCGCCAUGAAGGCACCAGCCUGGUAAAGAUGAACUGGGGCUACUAUGGAUGGAAGAACCUUGUACAUCAACAACCCUCAGAUGGCUGCUUGUAUUUCUUGAGGGACACUAUUAAACAAGGGGCCCAACACUGAUUUCUGCAUCUGGCAGGUGGACACAAGGAGACAACAAUCACUCCAUGGGGGAUGGUGGUAACUAAGGCCCUUGCUAUCAGGCCAAAAUAGUGCAGUCCCUACAAAUCACCCAAAUGAGGUAGAGUGUAAUGGCCUCUGGCACACUGUACAGAGUUACUACUUCACUUGAGCUUUUUCAUCUGUGGCAGAACUCAACAGAGAAACAGCAUGUGGUUGAUAAACACACCUUGGUCAGGGCACCUUCUCUCACACCCUAUGGGGCCCACUCCACAGGGCAAGCUUCAUACUACACAUAUCAUGUGGCCUACUACAGUUACCCGCUACAGAGCAUGGGCUUCAGUGAAGGACAUGGUGUCCUGGUGGAAG